CUACGGGUCGCACCAGUGGGGAAUAUUGCACAAUGGAGGAAACUCUGAUGCAGCAACGCCGCGUGGAGGAUGACACUUUUCGGAGCGUAAACUCCUUUUAUAUAGGAAGAAGAUGACGGUACUAUAUGAAUAAGCGCCGGCUAACUCCGUGCCAGCAGCCGCGGUAAUACGGAGGGCGCAAGCGUUACUCGGAAUCACUGGGCGUAAAGAGCGAGUAGGCGGAUUAAAAAGUCAGAAGUGAAAUCCUAUAGCUUAACUAUAGAACUGCUUCUGAAACUCUUAAUCUAGAAUAUGGGAGAGGUAGGUGGAAUUUCUGGUGUAGGGGUAAAAUCCGUAGAGAUCAGAAGGAAUACCGAUUGCGAAGGCGAUCUACUAGAACAUUAUUGACGCUGAGACGCGAAAGCGUGGGGAGCAAACAGGAUUAGAUACCCCUGUAGUC
Molecule: ribosomal RNA, 439 nt
Filed under: uncultured bacterium
Lineage: Bacteria
Description: partial 16S ribosomal RNA
Rfam family: Bacterial small subunit ribosomal RNA
Source: RNAcentral